Molecule: long non-coding RNA, 983 nt
Organism: Raphanus sativus (radish)
Lineage: Eukaryota; Viridiplantae; Streptophyta; Magnoliopsida; Brassicales; Brassicaceae
Exons: 2
Source: RefSeq, a predicted model, not a curated record
UCUCAUCUUGGAUUUGUCGUUUUAGGAUUUUUAGAAGAUGUUUUAGGAAAAUAGGAUUUUGAUUUUCUUUAAAUACCAUAUUACCCUUAAUUUUUCUAUUAAGUUGAUUUAUAAUUAUAAUUUGUAAUUUUCGUAAUUGAUUUAAAAUGUUAAAAUAGUAAAAAGUUAAAAAACAAAAAAAAUAGACAAAAGGAAAGAGGGGUAGUCGAUACCCUUCUUGUCUUCUCCACCGUAGAAUGCUUUUCCAUGGUGAUUUAGGUUUCAGCAGAGAAAAUUCUUGUUCUUCUGUGUUUCAUCUGCCCAUAAUCUCUAAUCUCGUUUUUGUUCAUCUUUCUCUAUGAUCUUACUGAAGAUACAAUGAAGUCCAAGUGUUGUUCAUCUUUUCGAAAUCAAAGUCUUCUUCCAUCAAUUUCGACGAAAUCUCACAAAUCUUCACACAAGAAUAUUGAUUAAGGUUUUUGGAGAGGGGAAAAUACGGGACUUGAAAUCUUAGACUUGCUGUUGUCCGGUCCUGAUCUUCCGGCGUUACGGAUCUGUGAUGAUAAGUAUUAUAGGCUAAUCCUGUAUACUUUUUUGUGAAGCCUAAGAGUGUAUCGGCUGGUGUGGGAGUUGAAGGAGAAGGUGAUAAGGUUUGUUCUUGCUGUACUCUGUAUGAGAUUGAUGAAUAUGGGGUGAAGAGUAAAGGGGAGACAGAACAAAGCUAUAUGCGUGAACUGUAUUGCGCCUUCAUUUGUGGCUACGUGUAUGUUCCAACUUUGAUCCCUCUUCCAUGGGUAAGAGAUUAGGGCUUUGUUUCUUGUUCUAUAAACUUUCGUUUUACUCUUUGUUCGUUGAUCUUCUGCCAUGUAUAUCUUGAAAGGAACUAUAUGAUACAUCUGUAUUGUGCAGAUGUUACUGAACAUGACGUUGGGUUUGGUUUUUGUAUUACAAUCCUGACAAGUUUUAGUUUAUGGUGCACUGUUAUAUCAUGUGUGUCUCAGUAA